CUAAGGCGAGGCCGACAGGCGUAGUCGAUGGAUGACGGGUUGAUAUUCCCGUACCCGUGUGCGUGCGACAAGUGAUGAAUCUUAUGGUACUAACCACCCGCUUGUUUCCGCUAAUCUUUUUGGUUGGUGGUUGCAGGUGCGUGGGAUCUUCGUGGGUAGUAGUCAAGUGAUGGGGUGACGCAGAGUGGUAGCUAGGCUUCCUUAUUGGAUUGGAGUGCAAGCGUGUGGCCUGUGGGGUUGGGAAAUCCGCCCCGCAUUAAGGGUGAGGCGUGAUGCGGACACCAUGUUGUGGUGGUAGUUAGUGUGCCUGUGCUGUCUAGAAAAGCCUCUAGCGAGUGCGUGCAUGGCCCGUACCGGAAACCGACACAGGUGGUCAGGUAGAGAAUACUAAGGCGUUCGGGUGAACUGUGGUUAAGGAACUCGGCAAAAUGCCCCCGUAACUUCGGGAGAAGGGGGACCAUUACUGGUUGCUGACAGCAAGAAAGCUGGUGGUGGUCGCAGAGGAGAGAGGGAAGCGACUGUUUAUUAAAAACACAGGUCCGUGCGAAAACGUGGAAGUUGAGGUAUACGGACUGACGCCUGCCCGGUGCUGGAAGGUUAAGAGGACCCGUGAGCACGCCUUAUGUGUGUGCGAGGCGGAGAAUUGAAGCCCCAGUAAACGGCGGUGGUAACUAUAACCAUCCUAAGGUAGCGAAAUUCCUUGUCGGGUAAGUUCCGACCUGCACGAAUGGCGUAACGACUUCCCUGCUGUCUCAACCACAGGCCCGGUGAAAUUGCAGUACGAGUAAAGAUGCUCGUUUCGCGCGGCAGGACGAAAAGACCCCGGGACCUUUACUAUAGCUUGGUAUUGGUGUUUGGUCAUGCUUGUGUAGGAUAGGUGGGAGACUGUGAAGCCGCAACGCUAGUUGUGGUGGAGUCGCAGGUGAAAUACCACUCUGGUGUGAUUGGGUACCUGAACCUUGGCCCGUGAUCCGGGUUGGGGACAGUGCCUGGUGGGUAGUUUAACUGGGGCGGUUGCCUCCUAAAUGGUAACGGAGGCGCCCAAAGGUUUCCUCAGUCUGGUUGGCAAUCAGAUGGUGAGUGUAAGUGUAUAAGGGAGCUUGACUGUGACACUGACGGGUGGAGCAGGUGCGAAAGCAGGGACUAGUGAUCCGGCAUCUACGUGUGGUUGUGGUGUCGCUCAACGGAUAAAAGGUACCCCGGGGAUAACAGGCUGAUCUUCCCCAAGAGUUCAUAUCGACGGGAUGGUUUGGCACCUCGAUGUCGGCUCGUCGCAUCCUGGGGCUGGAGUAGGUCCCAAGGGUUGGGCUGUUCGCCCAUUAAAGCGGCACGCGAGCUGGGUUUAGAACGUCGUGAGACAGUUCGGUCUCUAUCCGCCGCGCGCGUUGAAACUUGAAGAAGGCUGUCCCUAGUACGAGAGGACCGGGAUGGACGUACCUCUGGUAUGCCAGUUGUCACGCCAGUGGCAUGGCUGGUUAGCUACGUGCGGGAGGGAUAACCGCUGAAAGCAUCUAAGCGGGAAGCCUGUUUUGAGAUGAGGUUUCUGUUGAGGUUCCCUGUAGAUGAUGGGGUUGAUAGGCCAGGGCUGUGAGCAUGGUGACGUGUUGGAGGUGACUGGUACUAAUACACCGACACAAAAAACACA
Molecule: ribosomal RNA, 1645 nt
Filed under: human oral metagenome
Description: bacterial LSU rRNA
Rfam family: Bacterial large subunit ribosomal RNA
Source: RNAcentral